Molecule: long non-coding RNA, 1497 nt
Filed under: Homo sapiens (human)
Lineage: Eukaryota; Metazoa; Chordata; Mammalia; Primates; Hominidae
Description: HSALNT0404883
Source: RNAcentral
AGAAGGUCCACGGCCGGCGCCCGGGCCGGGACCGCGCGCACCGGCUCGCUGCUGCGCAGGGGUCCCCCGAGCCCCCUGAGGGGGGCUGCAGAGGUCGAAGAAUCGCUCUUCAUAACGAGUCCGGGUCCAAGGCCCAGGUCCUCAGACGUCGGAGUGACCGCCUCCCCAGAGGCUCCGGGAUAUCCCGAGUUGGCCUGGGCGAAGAGGGAGAGUCCUCAUCUCUUUGCCCACACCCCUUCCCGAGGUCGAUUCCCCGAGAAGGAAAAGGAAGGGGCCUAUCUGAGGCAAAAGCUGGGCUCGCCUGGAGGCUGGGGAAGCAGUUUACACGUCAGAUUUGCAGGAUUCUUGCAUCCCUGGAAUACCUGGCCCUAGCUUCUCCGGCCCCGCGACACGUGCAGGAACUGCCUCAGCUCCGGGCUCCUGGUUACGAUCAAAGACUCACCUCGCCUCCCGGCAGCGGGCGCGGACAUCUUUGCGCUCGCCCAGCCCCGCAGCCGCGCGGCGUCCCGGCGGCGCGGAGUACUCUAGGAGUUGUAGUUCCUCAGCUCUCGGCCCAUCGCCUUCUGUAAUGGAAGUAGGAGGCAGAGCGCGGACUACAACCCCCAGCACGCCGCGCCCCGGAAGCCGCCCCUGUGCCGUGAGAAAACAAACUGGUGCUACAGCUUCGGGGUGCGGAAGUCAAAACGAAGCAAAACCGAAGCUGUCUUGUGAAAUGGAGGGGUCCUCACUAACCAGUUCCAGCGGAGGCUAACGGAAGAAGUGCCAGCAAUGGAUGUGCAGCUACAUGCACGCUUUUAAUUCAGAGCUUCUGCGACGGUGGCGAUCAGGGGAUCUGUAAUGUAAUGUAAUGUCAAGGCUGACGCAGAGCUGAUCAAACAUUUUGGCAACCUUAGUCUUGAAUUGAUUCACACUUUCUCCGCGUUGCCUCCGGAGUUUGCUGUAGGGUAAUGAAUAUUGCCUGGGUCCAGACUUCUCUUUCCUCGGAGUCUGGUGGACUUGGUUCUGCCUCAGCUUCCCAUGCAGACUUUUCUGCAAGAGAACGGAAAUCCCAGAAGAUGGAUGUGUGCAUGUCUGGUGACAAGGGCAGGGGAUGUAUGAUGUGAGCAGGUGCCUGUUUAAUCUAAUUUCUAGGAGAGCAAAGAUUCUAGGGAAGCUUUGGAGUGAAUUCAAAGGGUAGAGAACUGGGGAGAAACUAAAGCCAAGAGGAUCUAGUACAAAUGUGGGAAGCUUGGCAAAGCCCGGGUGAAACAGAAUAUAAUAAUAAGUGUGAUUUGUGGAUCUGUUUAAAAUUAUUAUUAUAGUUACAAUUUACCAAAUACUCUGUUCCCAGUACUUUACUAUAAAGUGCAUUAUGUACGGUAUGGUUUUGUUUUUCACAAUGUCCUUAUUUUACAUUGUGUAACUUGCUCAUGGAAUGACUGUGUAUCCCCUGAAUAGCAAACAUACUUAGUUCUGUCCCUGCAGAGCAGAGUAGAGCUCAAUACACAUCUUUGAACC